CCAGACUCCUACGGGAGGCAGCAGUGGGGAAUAUUGCACAAUGGGGGAAACCCUGAUGCAGCGACGCCGCGUGAGUGAAGAAGUAAUUCGUUAUGUAAAGCUCUAUCAGCAGGGAAGAAAAUGACGGUACCUGACUAAGAAGCCCCGGCUAACUACGUGCCAGCAGCCGCGGUAAUACGUAGGGGGCAAGCGUUAUCCGGAUUUACUGGGUGUAAAGGGAGCGUAGACGGCAUGGCAAGUCAGAUGUGAAAGCCCGGGGCUCAACCCCGGGACUGCAUUUGAAACUGUCAGGCUGGAGUGCAGGAGAGGCAGGCGGAAUUCCUAGUGUAGCGGUGAAAUGCGUAGAUAUUAGGAGGAACACCGGUGGCGAAGGCGGCCUGCUGGACUGUAACUGACGUUGAGGCUCGAAAGCGUGGGGAGCAAACAGGAUUAGAUACCCCAGUAACC
Molecule: ribosomal RNA, 447 nt
Filed under: uncultured bacterium
Lineage: Bacteria
Description: bacterial SSU rRNA
Rfam family: Bacterial small subunit ribosomal RNA
Source: RNAcentral